This 241-nucleotide ribosomal RNA is filed under the name uncultured microorganism. Its description in RNAcentral is "partial 16S ribosomal RNA". It matches the Rfam family "Bacterial small subunit ribosomal RNA", at positions 346 to 491 of the family's 1533-position model. The record is from RNAcentral.
GCGCAGCAGUCGAGAAUAUUCGGCAAUGGGCGAAAGCCUGACCGAGCGACGCCGCGUGCGGGAUGAAGGCCUUCGGGUUGUAAACCGCUUUUCUAAGGGAAAAAAUUGUGUCUCACUGUUGUUUGGAGAAAAAAAUAAUAAGAAUAAGAUGGGUGGCCGUAGAGUUCCGUGACUUCCGCAGGUUUUCAUAAAAAUACCAAAUUACAGUGAGGCACAAAUUGAUGGUACCUUAGGAAUAAGA